Dreissena polymorpha is the source of this 4092-nucleotide long non-coding RNA. RefSeq lists it as uncharacterized. The record is from RefSeq and is a predicted model, not a curated record. Lineage: Eukaryota; Metazoa; Mollusca; Bivalvia; Myida; Dreissenidae. The transcript is spliced from 19 exons.
GUUAAUUUUUAAAUAUCAUUACAACGCAAAAUUAAAGUGAAAUAAUUUGAAGUUUUGUCAUUGAUUAUAUAUAGGUGUUUAUUGUAGCUAAGCUAUAUAUCAACAAGUGUGGUCUCAAUACAAAAUUUGAAAUGCGGCGUCGGAAGUACUCGUCAAACUUUACUUACAGGGACCAAUUCAUAGAGGUGAAAUAUAAGCUGAUAUAUAUGCAUGAUGGAUACUAGAAAUGGACGAUCGAACAAACGAACAAUGCAUGUUAGCGCUAUUUCUACAAUUUCUAUAAGUAAUAUUGUAAAACGUUCCAGAGGCGGAUUUAAUAACAAACCCAUCCAGCACGUGGUAUGACGGGUACAAAACAUGUCGACAAAAUGGUCUGGCCAUGGGUGCGUGGUGGGAUGUAACGUUUGACAUGAACAUAACAUAUCCCAUUUGGAUCAACCAAUUCGAAAUCAACUACCUAGACGGAGUCUUCAUAAUCGGUAAAUUCGAUGAUUGGGCCUAUGCUCGUUGUGUGAACAACACAGCGUUCGUUGGAAACGAAAGAUUGAUGCAGUUUAAGAAUGGACGCAAAUAUUGUCAGACGCAAAGCAAUGGGUCACAUAUAGAUUUGCCAUUUGUGAAUCACACUAACCUGUACAUGUUUAGUGCACUUAAACAUCGGCUGUAUUGGAUACACGAUGUAGACGUAGGGGCAUUUCUUAACUACAAAGAGUGUCCUGCUGACACAGACAAAACGGGCACUGACUGGUUUCCAGGCAAAAUUGGCUACAUGGAAAAAAGCGUGUGCACAUUCGGAACAAACGCUUAUGCAUACCGAUCGGAUAUUUAAUUCGGAGAUACUUAGCAAACUAGCCACCGUAACCGAGGAAAAUACGGAACAGCUGAUGGUCGGAGAUGUCGUAACAAUACGCUCGAUUCUCCACUCGGCUUGGGUCAGAAUAACAUAGAGCCGCAACGAUACACCCAUUCGUUCUUAGAUGUGGCAAACACACUUUUUGACGAGAAAAUUGAAUCAACAUGGAAUGUUUUAGUCAAUCAGACAAGAACUGGUGCCGAUUCAAUUGUAAACUUAGUGGAUAGGUUUUUGUCCAACAUGGUUAAGCAAUCGAACGGACCAAUUCACAAUCAUACCUUCAUUAAAUCGAACUUGUUUGUAGCAAUAUCAAAAACACCUGACUGUUCAAUUGUAAAUUUCCCAAGCGACACAUUUGUCGACUACAGAAAGGACAACAGGGACGAUUCAUGGGCUAUAGAUCGUUCUAAUAAUAUACGUGUCCCAUGCAUGAAAGAUCAGGUCUACAGCGGAGUUGUUUAUCGCAAUAUUUCACGUGUUGUUUCUUUGAACUCCGCCAGUGAUAGGAAAUGGUUAAAAACUGUGAACGCGCCAGUGUUCGUUCGCCUAUUUAUCAAAGACAACUGCUUUAACACCCGUUGAAAUAUCAUUCCAAAUAUAUGAUCGGUGGCCCUAAUAUCUGGUCUCCCGAAGGCUGCUCGCUGACCUCCUUUGACAGGAGCAUUGGCACUGUGACCUGCACGUGUAGCCACCUGACUAACUUCGCCGUGCUGAUGAGUCCAGCAGUAAUUAAAACUGAGGAGGCACACGCCCACAGCCGUGCUUUAGGGAUGUUCUCUAUCAUAGGAUGUUCUAUUUCAAUAGUCGGCCUUGCUCUUACCAUCAUCGUACAUAUUGUGUUCUGGAGAACGCUCUCGUCAGACCGGACUGUUAUGCCCUAUAUUCUUAAUGGGUUAUAUUGUGUUUCUAACCGGAAUCGAGAAAACAUCAAAUUCGACUGUAUGCGCAGCUAUCGCUGUGGUCCUGCACUACACUUUCCUCGUCGUGUUCUUUUGGAUGUUAGCCGAAGGACUCAUGCUCACCAACCUGGUGCUUAGCCCGUACCGCAAACGGCGCAUUAUUGUGCCGUUAAUCAUGGCAGCAUAUGGUAAAAUGUAUCACAUGUCAGAUAAACCGUUGUAAUAUGAUCGCCCCGUUCUGGAAACAUGGAGUAGUGGUUCUUUGUAGAUUUAGGAAUAUACUAUCACAUUACUAUCAGUCACACGGUUUGAGUGUCGUCAGCGAUACCAUUAAGUUGUCUUCACAUAUUUAUAAAAUCUCAAAUAACGAUGUUAUAUAAACUAUUAAAAAACAUCUAUGUUUAGAAAUAUCGUGUAUAUUUUCCGUCAUGUUGUGUGAUUCUUAACUUCUCUGAAAUAAAAGAUUAGCGGAUGGUAACAAACUUUCUCUUCGGGAAUGUGAUUGACCUUAAUUUUAAAUAAAAUAAACUUUUAAAUAAUGUUUAAGCCAUUCCAAUUCUGAUAGCUGUAAUAUCGAUGGGCGUCACACAGCUAAAAGGAUACGGAAACAAGUCGUUGUAAAUAUGUGUGAUAUAAAAAUUAAACUUAAAUGCAUAGGAAACAAACUGAUUACAUGUUAUAUUACUUCAAACUAUAUAUGAUGUAACCCGAACUGUUGUAUAGACGGGUAAUGAUAUACUAAUAAAACUAGCUGUUAUGCAUACGUUCUCAGUCGUGCGACUUAUUGGUACUAGGCACGAUCCCCAUUUGUGAAGCGUCAAAAAACAAAAAAAAACAAGGAACUAGUUUUUUUUCCAUUUAAAACAGUGGUAGCCUGACGCUUUCGAUGUAAACGAGUCAUUCAUUAUUUUUGCACCAAAACUCUUUCGUAAAUUGAUGGGCUGAGGAUAUUACUUUAUUAUAUAAUAAUGUAAUGUUACGAUCGAAUAAGAGUGAUGGCAUUUGUAUUGACACUUAUACUUGGAUACUUGUUAUACAAAUGUUUAUUUUAAUUUAAAGUUGCUGGUUGACGGUCGAUAGUGGUUUAUUCUGGACAUUUACUGGACCAAUCAUUGUAGUCGUCGUUGGUAAUAUUGUCAAUCUUUUGAUUAUCCUGAAGUUUGGAGUCUGUGGCAUUUCUGCUAUGGCAAAGAAAUCGGAUCUGGAAAAAAUAAAAACGGGCGCAAUGAGUGUUGGUGUGCUGACUCCCAUUUUUGGUAUCACGUGGCUUAUCGGCGUAUUUGCAGUAAAUGACGCCACAUCGGUCUUCCAGUGGCUAUUCGUCAUACUGAACUCACUACAGGGUCUAAUGAUAUUUAUUGUUAUGUGUCCACUGGACAGAAAGGUUCGAACCGCCUUCAAUGAGAAACGCCGACGAUUGUUUUAUGUUGAAAGUAGCACUUCUGAAGAAAACACCAAACACGAAAAGACCAAUAACAAGAUAACCUGGAUGCAGAUGCGAAGCACAUUUGCAACACGUGGGAACAGCUCGAAAGAUUCGCCCAGAACCGAAACUUCUGGAGGAGGCUUGUCGGCAGCCUAUGUUUCAGGCGGGACCACAUGCGAAGUUGAGAUAAGAUACUAAGAUACAAUACCUACAUCAUCAGUUUGAGUCAAAAGACUUUGGAGCUUUACUAAUCUUUCAAUAUGUAGAGCUACUGUAUUUGUAACUUCGGUAUAAAGUAUUUAUGAUACAAGCUCAUUUAACUAUUAUAAUAAUUGUACUGGCCUUACAAGAUUCCAAUCGAUUUAAAAAUUAUCUGAAUGUAACAACUAUAUGAUACUAGCUCUCUUAUGGUUUUUGAUGCGAUUUUGUUGAUUCUUGUCUGAUUUCAUUCAACUUCGGCUCAUAAAAUUACGGUUCUGGUGUUCUAGUCUGAUUACAACAACUGCAAAGUUUAAAGUAAUUACAUUAAAAUGUAUUCUCUUUUAUAGCUAUUUUAUUUGAAUAGUGAUGCGUUGAUGUUAAUUUUGAUGUAUACUUUAAUGUUAUGUAGAAAAUAAUUAUAGACAAAGUGUGAGGUUAAAAUCGAUUUAAACCCCAUGUGCUUUUGGAUUGCACCGUCCCAAGGUGGUAACGCCAGAGUUAAUUAUGCUUGUGCAUGCCAUAUGUACCUGUGUGUCUUGUCUUGUUCUUUUUUGUGUGUCUUACUGUUUGACUAUUGGUUCCUUUUCAUAAAUAAAUGAACGCAUUAUAUAACACUGGUUUGCAUUCCUGCUGGUGCAGCUGUAGUGUCAGUUUAUGUUUAUUUAAGAUAAUGCUCAUGUUGAAUACAUACCGUUACGUCAUUAUACAAUUUU